AACGCACAUUGCGCCCCUUGGUAUUCCGGGGGGCAUGCCUGUUCGAGCGUCAUUUCAACCCUCAAGCUAUGCUUGGUUUUGCGCUUUGCCGGUAACGGCUCGCUCUAAAUCCAUUGGCGGUGCUAUUGAGCUCUACGCGUAGUCGCUUAAUUCUCGCGAUUGAGUUUUCAAUAAGCGCAAGCCUCACGUCAAAAUUCAUUAUGGUUGACCUCGGAUCAGGUAGGGAUACCCGCUGAACUUAA
This 242-nucleotide unclassified non-coding RNA is filed under the name uncultured fungus. RNAcentral's name for it is "partial contains 5.8S ribosomal RNA, internal transcribed spacer 2, and large subunit ribosomal RNA". The record is from RNAcentral. Lineage: Eukaryota; Fungi.